Molecule: ribosomal RNA, 507 nt
Filed under: uncultured bacterium
Lineage: Bacteria
Description: partial 16S ribosomal RNA
Source: RNAcentral
GGAGUUAGCCGGUGCUUCUUCUGUGAGUGAUGUCCUUCCUGCCGGCUAUUAACCCGCAGGCCUUCUUCCUCACUGAAAGUGCUUUACAACCCGAAGGCCUUCUUCACACACGCGGCAUGGCUGGAUCAGGGUUGCCCCCAUUGUCCAAUAUUCCCCACUGCUGCCUCCCGUAGGAGUCUGGGCCGUGUCUCAGUCCCAGUGUGGCUGAUCAUCCUCUCAGACCAGCUACGGAUCGUCGCCUCGGUGAGCCGUUACCUCACCAACCAGCUAAUCCGACAUAGGCUCAUCCGAUAGCGCGAGGCCCGAAGGUCCCCCGCUUUCCCCCGUAGGGCGUAUGCGGUAUUAGCCUGGGUUUCCCCAGGUUAUCCCCCACUACCGGGCAGAUUCCUAUGCAUUACUCACCCGUCCGCCGCUCGCCACCAGGGAGCAAGCUCCCCGUGCUGCCGCUCGACUUGCAUGUGUUAGGCCUGCCGCCAGCGUUCAAUCUGAGCCAGGAUCAAACUCUGA